RNA transcript from Doryrhamphus excisus (bluestripe pipefish), 7802 nucleotides. It is a transcript of the gene named ATPase family AAA domain containing 2B, with no coding region annotated. Lineage: Eukaryota; Metazoa; Chordata; Actinopteri; Syngnathiformes; Syngnathidae. The record is from RefSeq and is a predicted model, not a curated record.
AAGUGCACACUAAUUUGAGCACUUUUUAAUUUGAUAUGAUCUUGAAGACACACACACAGGGAAAGAGAGAGAGAGAUAGAGCGAGAGAGAGAGAGAGAGAAAAUGGCGGCUGGAUGCUGCGCUCUAUGAGCCAGUGUUUGGAGCCGGUUUGGGAGCUUUUUUAACGGGAAUAAAUAUGGUGAACACACGGAAUAGCUCGCGACCCUGCAGCGGUCCUUUCAUCUCCUCUAGGACUCGCUCGUCGUCGAGGAACGAACGCCACUCUGAUGAACACAAGGAGAUGAGCAGCGAUGUGAGCACUCCCAGCAGCCCACGCCUCAGCCCGCCGUCUAAGCGGCCCCGCAGACAGAUGGCAUCGGAGCCCAGCUCCAGUGAUACCUCACCCUCGCCCCAGACUAAAGGGCAGAGGGUCAGUUGGGGCAUUCCAACCUACCGCACCAGGUUGUCCUCUCGUAUAAUGCAGAACGGACAUGCCCAUGUGGGGCACCGGAAGGAGCAGGGCGACCACUCGCACAUGAACGGCCAUGUGGAGCUGAAGAGGAGCUGCCGAGUCAGGAAGAGCCAGUUCGAACACCUCAACCAGAGCCUUCUGUUUGACCAGCUGGUCAACAGCACUGCUGAGGCUGUCCUCCAGGAGAUGGAUAACAUCAGCAGCAUCAGGCAGAACCGAGAGGUGGAGCGUCUUCGUAUGUGGACCAGAGACACUGAGGAGGAAAACAUGGACAUGUACUCCCGUGUCAAGCGAAGGAAGUCCAUGCGCCGGGGAGCUUUCAGUUUGCCCGCGCAUCAUAAAGUCAUGAGCAAAGCGGAAGAGGAAGAAGAAGAAGGGACGGAAGAAUCACACGACGACGACGACGAAGAAGAAGAGGAUGGUGAGGACGACGACGACGAUGAAGACGACGAAGGGGAUGAAGCAGAGGAAGCCGGGGAGGGAAACGACAGGCCGUACAACCUCAGGCAGCGCAAGACGGUGCAGAGAUACGAAGCACCACCUAUUGAACCGGUAAACAGGAAGCAAAGCAACCCCUCGCUCUUUGACACCCACCGAUCCCCAGCAAGAAGAAGCCAUAUACGAGUGAAGAAACACGCCAUCCACAGCAGCGACACCACCUCGUCUUCAGAUGAGGAACGCUUUGAGAGGAGGAAGAGCAAGAGCAUGACUCGGGCGAGGAACAGGUGUUUGCCUAUGAACUUGACCGCAGAGGACCUAGCGAGUGGCGUCCUGCGCGAUCGGGCCAAAGUAGGAGCGAGCCUAGCGGAUGUGGACCCCAUGAACCUGGACUCCUCUGUGAAAUUUGACCACGUGGGCGGCCUGGGCAACCAUAUCCAGUCACUAAAGGAGAUGGUCGUGUUCCCACUUCUGUACCCGGAAGUCUUUGAGAGAUUCAAGAUUCAGCCGCCGAGGGGGUGUUUGUUCUACGGUCCUCCAGGCACAGGAAAGACCCUGGUGGCCCGAGCUCUCGCCAACGAGUGCAGCCAGGGAGACCGCAAGGUUUCUUUCUUCAUGAGGAAAGGUGCCGACUGCCUCAGCAAGUGGGUCGGCGAAUCGGAGCGCCAGCUGCGCCUGCUCUUUGACCAGGCCUACCUGAUGAGGCCGUCCAUCAUCUUCUUUGACGAGAUUGAUGGUUUGGCGCCGGUUCGCUCCAGUAGGCAAGAUCAAAUCCACAGUUCCAUCGUGUCCACACUGCUGGCCUUGAUGGACGGCAUGGACAGCCGCGGGGAGAUAGUGGUCAUCGGUGCUACCAACAGACUUGACUCUAUUGACCCAGCGCUACGGCGGCCCGGACGCUUCGACCGGGAGUUUCUCUUCAAUCUGCCUGACAAGACGGCUCGAAAGCACAUUUUGCAGAUCCACACUCAGGACUGGAAUCCAAAAUUGUCUGAGGAAUUUGUAGAUGAACUUGCAGAAAAGUGUGUCGGCUACUGCGGCGCCGACAUCAAAGCGCUUUGCACAGAGGCGGCCCUGGUGGCGCUGCGCCGCCGCUACCCUCAGAUAUACGGCAGCAGCGUCAAACUGAAGCUGGACGUGGCCUCCAUCGUGCUGGGAGCGGGCGACUUCGGCAGGGCCAUGAGGGCCAUCGUACCGGCUUCCCAGAGGGCACUGGCUCCACCAGGACGAGCUCUGUCCCCCAUCCUGAGGCCCCUGCUGGCCGGCUCUUUCUCGUUGGUGCUGAAAGCUCUUGUUCGAGUCUUCCCCCACGCUCAGUGCAACGACAGGCAUAUGCACGGCGGCGACAAUCAACUGCACGAAGAGGACGUGUACAGCGAUGACAACGAAGACGCUUCCAUCUACGAAACUCCGUCUGCUGUGGCCCCGACCGGCACGCCGCCGCCCUCCGACACUGCAAUGCACAGACCCUUCAUCAAUUGCGCCUUCUCCGCCCUCCAGCAGCCCACCGCAUACCGACCCCGUCUGCUCCUGGCCGGGUCCCCGGGCUCCGGGCAGAGCUCCCACCUCGCCCCCGCCUUGCUGCACCACCUGGACAAGCUCCCGGUGCACCGCCUGGACUUGCCCACGCUCUACUCCGUCAGCGCCAAGACACCAGAGGAGUCCUGUGCUCAGGUUUUCCGCGAGGCCUGCCGCAGCGUUCCCAGCGUGGUAUUUGUGCCGCACAUCUCCGACUGGUGGGAGACGGUGAGCGACACCAUUAAAAGCACCUUCCUCACCUUGCUCCAGGACAUGCCCUCUUUCUGCCCCGUCCUCAUCCUCGCCACCGCCGAGACGACCUACUCACGGAUGUCCGACGAGGUGAGGAGUAUGUUCCAUAAGGCCUACGGUGAAGUGGUUACACUGAACCCUCCAGGGGAAGAAGAAAGGAGGAGCUUUUUCUCAGAUCUGCUGCUGGUCCAAGCAUCCAGAGCCCCACCACGCCCCAAAACUACUGAGAUUUGCAAGGAGGUGCUGCCGGUGGCCGAGGCCCCGGGCCCCAGAGUCUUGUCCGCAGAGGAGCAGCAACGUCUGGUCCAGCAGGCGGAGAACACUCUUCGGGAGCUGCGGCUCUUUCUCAGGGACGUGACCAAGCGUCUGGCCACCGACAAACGCUUCAACAUCUUCAGCAAGCCUGUUGACAUCGAGGAGGUAUCGGACUACCUGGAGGUUAUCCGACAGCCCAUGGACCUGUCCACUAUCAUGACCAAGAUUGACAAGCACCAGUACCUGACGGCCAAAGACUUCCUGGUGGACAUCGACCUCAUCUGCAGCAAUGCGCUAGAGUACAACCCAGACAAAGACCCAGGAGACAAGGUGAUCAGGCACCGAGCGUGCAGCUUGAAGGACACGGCACACGCCAUCUUCGCCUCGGAGCUUGACCCCGAGUUUGACCGCAUGUGCGAGGAUAUCCAGGAGACACGCAGGAAAAGAGACCAGCAGAUGCCAACGCAGCCAGCAGCAUCAGCACCGAGUACUCCGGUUACCAGAAAGAACCCCACUGCUCCUUCUGCUCCCGUUGCUCCUUCGACUCCGUCUGCUCCUGCUGCCGUGGAGGAGCAGACCAGGACCAGCACUGCAGUCCAAGCUACAGAGAAAGCCUGCACGCCCAAUCAUAUUAAGAAGAAGAUCCGCAGACGGCCAUCUUGGGGGCGAGGCAUCAUCCGCAAGAAGAAGAACUACAAGAAGGGAACUGAGGAGGAGGAAGAGGAAGAGCCAGAGGUAGAAGCAGAAGCAGAAGCGCCAGGACCUAGCGACUCGUGUUUGACUCUGGAUGAAGAGUCCUCCAACGACGCCGCAGGGCUCCAGCCCAAUGGCCACCCGCCCCACGUCUCCAUGGAGGAGGAGAGCUCCAAUGAACCCCCUGUUGGCCCCGUCAGACUAGAGACAACUCCCAAGGAUGAGGACUGCAACGCCGAUGGGUCAAAGUGCGGGAACACAGAAAUACAAACUCGGCUGCACUGCAUCGGAAAACAUUCACGCUCCGACGCAGACGGGGCUAGCCGGAGCCAGUGGGUCGACUCGCAAACUUUGACUGAAAAUCCAGAGUCUUCUGAUGCCAAGGUCCAAUCUCAGCACUUAGAGGAUCUCCAAGUAGCACAAGCGGACCGUGUGAACGGAAAUGAGUCAAUGGAUAGUCUGGACUCGAUCAGCAAGGCAGAUGAAAAUAUGACAGAGGCCUUUAACAGCCGGUUGGAACAAUGGGAGCACAACGGCACAGGCAAGGGGGAAGCCACUCAGGAGCACACUUCCCAAGAUGGGAGAACUGGAUCACUAAGCUUGAACGAAGAUGACGACAAAGAAGGAGAUUCCAAGGUAAGGAAAUGCAAGAGGAGCCCGUCGGAGCAAUUAAAAGGAUCUGCUUUAAGGACUGAGGAAGAGCCAGAACCAGCACCUCCUCCACCACCUCCUCCUCCUCCUCCUCCUCCAGUUGUGGUCGACCGUGAGCGACUUUUGGUGCUGCUGGAAAUGGCGGUGAAGAAGAGCAAAGGCUUCAGCGUGGAGCAGCUGGAGAGGCUGUACUCUGUUCUCAGCCAGUGCAUCUUCGUUCAUCGCAGAGAGUACGACAAGACACAACUACUGGAGGAGAUGGAGGACAGGAUCAAGCAUUUUGACACAUUCCUGUGAGACGGCGAAAACACAACCUCCUCAGGUAGACCCUGAGACCCCCGAACCCCCAACUCCCCCCCCACCUUUUUUGGGACCACAAAGACACAAAGCGAGAGCUUGAAGGAGCUUGAAGCAACCCUCAUCGUCUUCUUCAUGGCGGGAUAAGAGACAAUUGAAUGGUGCUAACGUCUCAGGAAACCUGGACAGAUCCACACCUGUUCUACUCAACCAAACCGCUGGAGAAGCCCACCUAGAGUACACCCGCCUCUAGUGGGCGCCAACCACACUCGUAUAAAAAGCUAACAAGGCAGGAAGGAGGAAGGAAGGAAGGAAGGAAGGAAGGAAGGAAGGAAGGAAGGAAGGAAGGAAGGAAGGAAGGAAGGAAAGAAAAGCUAACAGUCACUGGUGAUUUUUGUGCUUUUUUAAAACCCCCAACAUAGUCCUGAUCAGCACGGGGGGGCGGCCAAUCACCCUUAAGAACAGAUACAAAAAAACCACUUCACCCUCGUGAGACGUUAGUCCUCAUCUCAUGGAGACCGUCCCGUUCUCUAGAUGCCACCCCCGCCCCCCAAAUGUCACCCGUGUUUACUAGAGGUCACUCCCGUUUCCUAGACGCCAACCCUGUUUCUUAGAUGUUAGCCCCAUCCGCAAAUUUGACUCCCCGCCCCUCAAAUGUCCCUCCUGUCCCCGAGGUGUCACUCCCAUCCAGGAGAUGUCACUAGUGGGGUUGAAACAUUCUGUGUCUCCAAUGAAGAAGGAUAGAAAAGGAAGGUGGUUUACUAAGAGGGUCCCUGCAGGUGAUGAUGGACCAUGAUAGACCAUGAUGGACAACAUGGCCAACAAGUCCAGUACAUUCUACACAGGGUGUUUUUUGGAAGGGUUGGCGUUUGGCAAAGAGGGGCGGCAGACCGGCGGGCCGGGGGACCGGGUAGGGGCGGUGGUGAUGUCAGCUGAAGAAGACAGCCUUCGCCAAACGAGGUACAUGGCCCGGGCCAAGGCGACACCUGCCGGUGGGGCGUUGGCACUGUUGCUGGGCGGCCCCGAGCCCCGCCCCCCGCCCUCAGCCGCUCUGGAUGUACUUCUUGAUGACCACGCAGCCAUGUCGGAAGAGCGGGCAGGGCAGUGACUGCAGCAGCGUCCAUGUGUUAGCGCAGGGGUCAAAGGUCUCCAUGUUGCCCAGCGCCGGACCCUCACUGCUGACGAUGCCGCCUGUGGCAUAGAUCUUCCCGUCUAGUAUGACGGCACUGUGAGUACACACAAGUAUAGUACUUUGUAAAUUGAACUUUCUAAGCUUUUUUCCACUGUGAGUACACAAUUGGGGCUAUGUAGUAUAUACGUAUAUAUAUGUAUGUUUCUGUAUAUAGUAUAUGUAUGCAUAUAUGUGUGUGGAGUGUGUGUGUAGAGUGUGUAUAUAGAGUAUGUGUAUGUACAGUGUGUAUAUAGAGUGUGUAUAUGUACAAUGUACAAUGAGUAUGUGAGGUAAAGGUGAGAUGAGUCAGAAUGAAAUGAAAAAGCCAAGAUGUUCUUCUUGGACAUGAGAAGCAGAAAGAGGAGUUUGUGUGCAUGCAGGAUUAAAAUCUUUGGUCCGUAAACAGAUUAAGGUUUUGUCCUCCUAUUGGCUCCUACAAACACACGUGCGCGCACGUGCACGUGCAGGGAAACGCUGCUGGAAGUGGAAAAGAUGAUGACAUGAAAGCUUAAACGUUCUCGGAGAAGAAUCCUCCAUGCUGCCUGGGUCAGCCUGCACAUCGCCAGGGUCUCCUGCUCCUUAGCAAGCUAACAUGCUAACUAAGAUGAUGGAACGUGUCAUGGCGAGGAUUUCAUAGGCAACACUUCCUCUUGACCCAAGACAGCUGGGAUACUUUCUUUGAUGGAUGCCUGAAUGAGUGACUAUGGAUGGAUGGAUGGAUGUCUGAAGGAGUGAUGGUGGAUGGAUGGAUGUUACCUGCAGAACUGCCUGGAGUGGUUCAUGUUGGCCCCGGCUUUGAUGUUGCCUUUGUCAGGGUCGUAGAUGGUGGUGGCUCUGGCGUAGGCUCCUCCCAGGAUGUACACCAAGCCCUUGAGACUGACCGCUGGUGCGUAUUUGUUAUCUGAACACAGGAGAGUAUCAUCACGUCCUCCUGCCUUAGUGUCCCGUUCUUCGCUCCGCGUCGCUCACUCACCGAUCAUGGGCGACUCGAUGAAGCUCCACGUGUUGCUCUGCGGCACAUACGACUGCAGCACGCCCGCCGAGCGGCCGGCCUCGUUGACGCCGCCGAAAACGUAGACCUUGCCGCCGCAGACCGUGGCCGCUGCUGAGUGCACCGGCUUGGGCAGCGGAGACACCAUCUCCCACUGGUUGGUGAUGGUGUCGUACCUGUGGGUUGGAGACGGGUGAUGUUAGCAUAGUGUGUGUGGACAUUGUUGAAGGUGAUGUUAGCAUAUUGCGCGUGGACAUUGUUGAAGGUGAUGUUAGCAUAGUGCGCAUGGACAUUGUUGCAGGUGAUGUUAGCAUAGUGUGCAUGGACAUUGUUGAAGGUGAUGUUAGCAUAUUGCGCGUGGACAUUUUUGAAGGUGAUGUUAGCAUAUUGCGUGUGGACAUUGUUGAAGGUGAUGUUAGCAUAGUGUACAUGGACAUUGUUGAAGGUGAUGUUAGCAUAGUGUGCGUGGACAUUGUUGAAGGUGAUGUUAGCAUAGUGUGCGUGGACGUUGUUGAAGGUGAUGUUAGCAUAGUGUGCAUGGACGUUGUUGAAAGUGAUGUUAGCAUAUUGCGUGUGGACAUUGUUGAAGGUGAUGUUAGCAUAGUGUGCAUGGACAUUGUUGAAGGUGAUGUUAGCAUUGUGUGCAUGGACAUUGUUUAAGGUGAUGUUAGCAUAGUGUACAUGGAUGUUCAUGGUGAUGUUAGCAUAGUGUACAUGGAUGUUCAUGGUGAUGUUAGCAUAGUGGGCAUGGACAUUGUUUAAGGUGGUGUUAGCAUAGUGUACAUGGAUGUUCAUGGUGAUGUUAGCAUAGUGCGCAUGGACGUUGUCGAAGGUGAUGUUAGCAUGGUGCGCGUGGACAUUGUUGAAGGUGAUGUUAGCAUAGUGCGCGUGGACGUUGUUGAAGGUGAUGUUAGCAUAGUGCGCAUGGAUGUUCAUGGUGAUGUUAGCAUAGUGUUUUCUAUUCUCUUGCGUGGCAGCAAAGAAACGUCAUUGGAAAAAAAAAGUAGGAUCAAAUCAGCCCGAGAGAGACCCCAUGUGGCGACAUGGACCCAGGGAGUCACAGAGUGUAGUGGGUGGUUGCCGGG